CAUGACCGUGCCUCUGAGAAACCAGCGCGUCCGCAACGAUCACUCCUAAUUUUCGGAUUCCUAUCAUCUGUCUCCACGUGAUAACACUGAAGAGCCUUCACAUUGAUGCAGGCCCAGGGCCUCAAGUGCAGAGUCUGAGAGCUCUGCAGGACACAGCAUGGAGCCGCCAUUCCUCUACUGGGUGGAGGAGCAUGUGUCCUCUGAACAGGGGAUCCAAGCCCUGAGAUGUUCUUUCUCAGCUGUCAGUGCGGCCCAGGACUUUCUGUGGGGAUGCUCAGACAGCAGGGGCCGGAGGACUUUUAGCCACCACCUCCCAUGGCCAGUCUUCACAAAUUACCUUUGGCUAAUUUGACUGUCUCUCCUCCUGGGGUCUAGGACUUCAAACAUGUACAGAAGCGAUUGCAGAAUUAAGACAAGACACUUCCACAAUAUAUUUUUUGUAUCACUGGCUCAGAAAAAGACUCAUUCAAAUCCUGUAUCAAAGCCACAUGUGAGAAUCUUGAGAAAGCAUCAGCUGACUGACUUGACAAGGGAGGAAGCAACCAAAAAUUCUGCGCUUCUUCAGUAUCUGAGUAUGAUAUUUUGCUUCAACAUCCCUCUUAGAUGAAGUUAUUGAUUGAAAAUCAUUUAAGUUUGCCCCAUGGUAAAAGAUCAAGUCCUCAGAAAGAUCUCCAAA
This 676-nucleotide long non-coding RNA is filed under the name Homo sapiens (human). RNAcentral's name for it is "non-protein coding lnc-NUTM2E-1:9". The record is from RNAcentral. Lineage: Eukaryota; Metazoa; Chordata; Mammalia; Primates; Hominidae.